Oryctolagus cuniculus (rabbit) is the source of this 5156-nucleotide non-coding RNA. The record is from RefSeq and is a predicted model, not a curated record. Lineage: Eukaryota; Metazoa; Chordata; Mammalia; Lagomorpha; Leporidae.
UCUCACAGCCGAUCGGUUGUGUUCUCUCGUUGAGUGUUCCGAGAAAACUGUGAGGUCAGCAAGCCGCAAGUUAUUGACCGGCGAAAGUACUUGGGAAAAUUGCCUACCUCAAAAUUUGGAUGCCCAACCAGCAUGUUACAUCAUCUUGUUGCUGUGGCUCUAGGACUGUGUGAAGCAGAUGCAUCAUUCCUCAGGUUCUACUAGGAGAGUCCAACUGGUGCUAUGGCUUAUAACACCAAAAGCCUUGAUCCUGGGACUAGAGAACAUAAAUUGAACUCUACUCCGGUCCUACAGCAUGCCUACAAGGUAUUCAGGCAGGCCCCAUGAGGAAGGGAACCAGGGGCCAACACAAAUGCAGUCAAGUGGGAGCAGGGAAGACCAUCCCUUGAACAUCAGCUUUCCCACCAGAGUGUGGCUACAGGGUCUCCAAACUAGCCUUGUCUUUGGCAUAACUGAUUCGCCUUGAAUAAGGAUGUAAACCUCUCUGAAGUUCGUGGGCUCUCUCACAUCUUUUGACUGCUCCUCAGCUGCAAUGAUCUUUCACUGCAGAAGAUAAAAUCCUCUUGGUAAGCAACCAAACCCCCCACCCCAACCCUGACACUUAGCCUUUAACUGUUAGUUACCCAGUGUGUCUUUACUCUCCAGGGAUCAAUAUAAUUUAAGUGAUAACCAGUAAACACUGCUGUCCUUAUAGGCUUGCUGCCUCCAUAUGUUUCAAAUGCCUAAUUCAUUGCACAUGAAAAACUGCCCCUCAAAAUAUCCUUCUCCUAGGUUAGCAUGGUAAGGUACUCCACAUUUGAGCCAGUACCUGUUUAUUACCUUUUGCCAACAUUACAACUUGCUAUUUCCUCAAAUGACUCUCAGCAUUGCCUAUCAGUUCUGAACUUUUGAGAAGCAGAUAGAUAUGAAAGAAUCACCUUUGCGGGGCUGGCACUGUGGCGUAUGGGUAAAGCUGCUGCCUGUGUUUCUGGCAUCCCGUAUGGGUGCUGGUUCUAGUCCUGGCUGCUCUAUUUCUGAUCCAGCUCUCUGCCAUGGCUUGGGAAAGCAUUAGAUCAUGGCCCAAGUCCUUGGGCCCCUGCACUCAUGUGGGUGACCCGGAAGAAGCUCCUGACUCCUGGCUUCAGGUCUUGCCAUUGCAGCUAUCCUGGGAGUGAAUCAAUGGUUGGAAGACCUCUCUCUCUCUCUCUGCCUCUCUUUCUCUCUCUCUGUAACUCCGUCUUUCAUAUAAAUAAAUAAACCUUUAAAAAAGAAAGAAAUACCUUUGAAUAAUAAUUAUGGCAGAGGAAGCAGAGAUCCCUCAGAUACCAAUGCAGAUGUGAUGUGAUUCCUGUGAAAAGCGGGAGAGUAUAAUGGCUUGGAAUGAAAGAGCCUCAGACCACAGAGUAGGUCACCAGAAUCCCAGAAACCAAAGUUUCUCAUAACAGAAAUAUAAUGUCAGGUAGCAAUGGCCCUGUUCUAGUACAUGCAUCAUAUUCAAAGAACUUCACAGUGGGUGUAGGAAUCAGUGGCUUCAGUUGUGGUUUCAAAGUAAGUAGAUUCAAAGCUAGGUUGUUGAUCAUCUAAGUCCCAGCAGAGGCUUUCCAUGAAACGUGUUCUGAGGAGGGCACCUCCAUAACCCCAGAGCAUAAUUUGCAACAACCAAUAUAAUUUUUCAGGGCCUAAAACUCAUAUAAUAAUAAUAAUCCUAUAAUAAUAAUUUUAAUCCUUGUGGCUGGAUUAUCUGUACAACUCUUAGUUAUAUAUUUCUCCUGAUGUACUGUUUGUGAAGGAGUUGCUUUCCAGGACUUCCAUCAGCAUUGGAGGCUGUAAUGACUCUUGGUCCAUAUGUGAAGGAAAAAGGGUGAGCAUUCUGUUAGCUGCUAGUGUAUUCAUUCAUUUCCCACUGAAUUCCAGGGGAAACAGAAACUAGAUAUGACAAUUAAUAGAUAGAAGUGAUAGGCUAUGAGAACGAUAUAACCUAGCCAUCUGUCACCUAUCCUCCAUAUGCUCCCAGACUAACAAGAGACAAUAAUGAUAUUUGUGUUCUUUGUUAUCAGUUUCAGACUAUAUAUCUUAAAGCACUUAUAACGCUUGAAUAUUAAUUUUUUCCAAUUCAGAAUAUUGUUUGAGGAAGGAGGAAAGUAAAAGUUUCUAAAUAUACUUGCUGUUGGCUAAGUAUUACUAGGGACUCUGCCUUCCAUUCAGUUAAUGGGAUCUGGGUUCAAGACCUGUCUUGGAUCUUGAAAUUGGGAGAGGGAGGAGAAAAAAGUUCUGGAGCGUGGAUGGUAGGGAGAGUAGGAUGGGAAGUAUCACUGUGUUCCUAAAACUGUAUAUAUGAAAUACUUCAAAUUUCAUCCUUCUGGCUCGGGAUUUCUUCAGGGGAGCGUGAUGUUCCAGUCUGAGAUGAUUUAAGCCUCCCUCUUCCUUGAAUCAAUGUCAGAGGCCCAAAUCCAUGGGCGCUUUCUUGCUCAGUUUCCCUGUGUCCAGGCAUCUUCCUCUGUACCUCAUGUUUACUAGUCCCUGAGUCAGUGUGUAAACCGUUUGACCUUCACAGAGUCUGAGAACCCCAGGGGAAAUUCAUACACAAGGUCUCCUUUGGCCCAUGUCCCUGAGUUGAGAAAUGCAGUACAAGCUCAGGGAUGCUAUCAGCAGGAUUCUGCAGGUUGCUCAGUUCUUCAGGGCUAAUUUAGAGACGUGGUCUUCUUUGUUCUGUGUCCCCAAGCUAGGAAAUGCAGCACAUCUUUUGUUGUGCUCAUGGCAGGAUUCCGCAGGUCUCUCACCUCUGUAAGCAUAGUGGACAGCACACCUGACCUGUGACCCUACUGCCCCGGAGCCUGGGUUCACUGCCUGCCUGGCAGCAAGAGCUGCCAGGUAGCCUGAAGCCCUGGAGAUUUUUUCAAUAUGGAGACAGCCAUUAGAUGUUAAAUAAAUGCCAUGUUCUACAGAGUUCUAUAUAGUGAUCCUGCCAAACGAAAACUAGUAACUAAUCCUUUCAUAAUCAAUAUAAACUUGUGCUAACAUGUUGAUAUUUACCUAUCAAUAACUAUUGACAGACUAUAUUGUAUAAAAUGUAUCAAUAAUGAACUGUGGAUUAAAUUUAAAAAAAAAUCAAUCCUAAAGGAAUUCUUAACAAACCGUCAAUUUGAAUGAAUUUCUAGGAUAGUCUAAAUGACUCCUUAGGGUUAGUCAUGUAAUCACUGGUUUCAUGAUGUGGGAGUGAAGCAAUAGAGAACAGAGAAAGGGAGAUACUUCCUGGAAUGAUAGGAACUCUCCAGCAACUAUUUUGGUUGGGAUGGUGGUUUAAAUUAAGACUCAGCAUCCUGUAUCCUUAGACUAUGUUUAUUUCACCAUACACUAAAAAUGGGGCAUGUCAAAAAGUUUGUGGUAAAUGGAACUAAUCCAUAACUAUUUGGUUUCUGAUCAGGAAACUAACCACAUUGGCCCCUUGUGCCUCCAGUUUUGGUCCAACAGCAAAGUGUCACUCUCAAUACUUUUGGGUGAGAGUCCUCCUGAUAGUGAGAUUCUCACCUGCCCUGACCACUACCCAUCUGAACUCACAGAGACUUGGAAUGUUCUAAAGGAAACAUCGGCAUGCCUCUACGGGCAGAAGGGUGACUUGAGCACUCCCGAAGAAAUCUUUUUAUUUAAAAUUUAUUCCCCCCCCCAAAGAAACCAUUUAUUUAAGGACUACAGACUUCAUGUAAAUAGUAUUAGCAAGAAAAAAAAAAAAAAACCUGUUCCUUGGCCGGUGCCGGGGCUCACUAUGCUAAUCCUCCGCUUUGCAGCGCCAGCACACCAGGUUCUAAUCCCGGUCGGGGCGCCAGAUUCUGUCCCGGUUGCCCCUCUUCCAGGCCAGUUCUCUGCUGUGGCCAGGGAGUGCAGUGGAGGAUGGCCCAAGUGCUUGGGCCCUGCACCCCAUGGGAGACCAGGAAAAGCACCUGGCUCCUGGCUCCUGCCAUCAGAUCAGUGCGGUGUGCCAGCCGCAGCACGCAGGCCGUGGCGGCCAUUGGAGGGUGAACCAAUGGCAAAGGAAGACCUUUCUCUCUCUCUCUCGCACUGUCCACUCUGCCUGUCAAAAAAACAAAAACAAAAACAAAAACAAAACAAAACAAAACAAAAAAACCUGUUCCUUGAGAGUCGAGAAAAGGGCUGUUCAAGUCAUUGCUUCUCAAAGUGUCAAUUUCAUUUCUGCAGAUUUCCUUUUAGAAGCUCUGUUAGUUAUCCUAGAUCAGGGGGAACAUAUGGUAUUUGUCAUUUGGGACUGGAUAUUAAACUAAGAACGAUGUUUUCCAGAUCCACCCAUUUUGUUGCAAAUGACCGAAUUUAAUUUUUAUUUUACCACUGUGUAGGGUUCCAUAGUGAACAUACCCAUAAUUUCUUCAUCCAGUCUUCAGUUGAUGGGCAUUUAGGUUUGAUUCCAUGUCUUAGCUAUUAUGAAUUGAGCUGCAAUAAACAUGGGAGUGCAGAUAACUUUUGUUUACCGAUUUCUUCCCCCUUGGGUAAAUUCCCAGUAGUAGGAUGGCUGGGUCAUAUGGUAGGUCUAUAUAUUCAGAUUUCUGAGGUAUCACCAAACUGUCUUCCCUAGUGGUAUACCAGCAUACAUUCCCACCAACAGUGGAUUAGGGUACCUUUUCCCCAAAUCCACGCUGGCAUUUGUUGUUUGUUUAUUUCUGUAUGAAAGCCAUUCUAACUGUGGUGAGGUGAAACCUCAUUGUGGUUUUGAUUUGCAUUUCCUGACAGCUAAUGAAUCUGAGCAUUUUUUCAUGUGUCUGUUGGCCAUUUGAAUUUCCUCUUUUGAAAAAUGUCUAUGUCCUUUGCCAAUCUCUUAACUGGGUUUUUUCUUGUUGUUGUUGUUGUGGAGUUACUAGAUAUCUUUAUGUAUUCUGGUUAUUAAUCCUUUAUCAGUUGCAUAGUUUGCAAAAAAUUUCACCCAUUCUGUUGGUCGCCUCUUCACUUUCCUGAGUGUUCUUUUUUGGAGUACAAAAAUUUCUCAUUUGAUGUAAUCCCAGUUACUAAUUUUGGCUUUUAUUGCCUGUUCAUCUGGGGUCUUUUCAAAGAAAUCUUUGCCUGUGCCAAUAUCUUGCAGGUUUUCCAAAUGUUAUCUAAUAGUUUGAUAGUCUGAGGUCAUAGGUUUAGGUAUUAAUCCAUUUUGAAUGGAUUUUUGUAUAAGGUGUAAG